GGCCAGAGAGCUCAGUCACCUGAGCAUGGUGCUGAUAACACCAAGGUCACGGGUUCGAUCCCUGUUCGGUCCC
This 73-nucleotide transfer RNA is filed under the name Apaloderma vittatum (bar-tailed trogon). It matches the Rfam family "tRNA". Rfam says of the family: Transfer RNA (tRNA) molecules are approximately 80 nucleotides in length. Their secondary structure includes four short double-helical elements and three loops (D, anti-codon, and T loops). Lineage: Eukaryota; Metazoa; Chordata; Aves; Trogoniformes; Trogonidae. The record is from Rfam by way of RNAcentral.